AACAGACAGGGCUGAAAAACAGAAGAAGAGUCAUUUAUGGAUGGAGAAAAAGCUGAGUAGAUAAGAAAAACAACGGAAGCAGCAGAGGAAGAUGAGGAAAAGGAAGAGAAACCAUCAUCCUCUGCUUUCAUUCCCAAGUGGCCUGGCAUGAGGACCAUCCAUCGCCUCUUCAUUUACUUUUCAAUUUAAAUUUACCGGUUUUCAAAAGGCUGACUUAAUGAUCAGAAGAUUUCAGCAACAUUUCUCUAAAUGUAAUAAUUUUUAACAGAAUCAGUUGGUGCUUUCACGUAAAAAAGCGAUUCAGUAAGAAUACUCACGGAAUCUGUGACAAAAUUCACAUUCAUACAGUAAGUAGCAGUUUUUCGAGAGUUAGACUUGCGUUUUUCCACGUUCAAUGAGCGGCGGUUGACACGCGGGAAAACACCUGCGGACGCACAAGGUUCAUACUGUAAAUACGGAGAGGAACCAAACGGAGCGCGGACACGAACAGGAACGCGGCAGUGAGAAAAUAUUUGGCGCGUGCACCGGCGAGGAGGUGAAUCCGGAAGAGCGCGUGAGCAAACGAGCGCAGAGGAUCUGUUCUAUGCGAUCAAACGGCGGUGCCAGUUACCAUUACAGACCACAGGGCCCGACCCACCAGAGGAAAAUCACCACAGACUGAGCAGAUGCAGUGAGCUGACACGCAGCUCUGGAUCCCACACGGUCUCAAGACGGUUUGGACACAUCUUUAAAAUAACAAGAAGAACACGCACACCAGGAACUAAACUAAAGAUGUUCCUAAUACAGCUGGAUUCUAGGUAACUCCAGAGAAAGAAACUGUGGGAGCCUCAACGAGAUACAAUAGAAGAUACAAUAGGACACACAGGAUUUAAAAAAACUGUCUAAAGCCUGAUUUCUUGUGUUCUACAUCAGCCUUCAGAAAACAACUUGAGCAGAGUAAAGUCCAUGCCCUGAACGGGUGAAAAGUUGACCCAUUCAUUGGAAAAGCUCACCAACGGUUAAAUGAACCCGGUCAAAGUACCGGUUUUAUGAGAAAUGGCCUCUAAUCCAAGACAAAGGGGGAGCGGGGAUCUUCAACCUCUGUUUUUUGAUUUGAGAAUUCAUGUACAGUCAUUUCUGAAACAGUCUAAUGACAAAGAAACAACCAACUGUCACAAGGUUUGUGCUGUUCAUUUCUGCUCCUAUUAAUUCAUUUAAUAAAAGCUUCAGGAGACACGG
This is a long non-coding RNA of Betta splendens (Siamese fighting fish), 1218 nucleotides long. RefSeq lists it as uncharacterized. NCBI's taxonomy places the organism in Eukaryota, Metazoa, Chordata, Actinopteri, Anabantiformes, Osphronemidae. The transcript is spliced from 2 exons. The record is from RefSeq and is a predicted model, not a curated record.